GGCCGGUUGGCCCAAUGGCAAGGCGUCUGACUACGACUAAGCGCUUCCGCGACUUGGCAUGUUAUCAGGAGAUUCUGGGUUCGACCCCCAGGCUGGUCA
This 99-nucleotide transfer RNA is filed under the name Colletotrichum phormii. Its description in RNAcentral is "tRNA-Arg". It matches the Rfam family "tRNA". From Rfam's summary of the family: Transfer RNA (tRNA) molecules are approximately 80 nucleotides in length. Their secondary structure includes four short double-helical elements and three loops (D, anti-codon, and T loops). Lineage: Eukaryota; Fungi; Ascomycota; Sordariomycetes; Glomerellales; Glomerellaceae. The record is from RNAcentral.